UAAAAGUCGUAACAAGGUUUCCGUAGGUGAACCUGCGGAAGGAUCAUUAUCGAGUUUUGACUGGGUUGUAGCUGGCCUUCCGAGGCAUGUGCACGCCCUGCUCAUCCACUCUACACCUGUGCACUUACUGUGGGUAUCAGAUCGUGAAGCGUGCUCUUUUACCGGAGCUUGUGAAGCGUGUCUGUGCCUGCGUUUAUCACAAACACUAUAAAGUAUCAGAAUGUGUAUUACGAUGUAACGCAUCUAUAUACAACUUUCAGCAACGGAUCUCUUGGCUCUCGCAUCGAUGAAGAACGCAGCGAAAUGCGAUAAGUAAUGUGAAUUGCAGAAUUCAGUGAAUCAUCGAAUCUUUGAACGCACCUUGCGCUCCUUGGUAUUCCGAGGAGCAUGCCUGUUUGAGUGUCAUGAAAUCUUCAAUCUAUAAGCUUUUGUGGUUUGUAGGCUUGGACUUGGAGGCUUGUCGGCCUUGAUCGGUCGGCUCCUCUUAAAUGCAUUAGCUUGAUUCCUUGCGGAUCGGCUCUCGGUGUGAUAAUAUCUACGCCGCGACCGUGAAGCGUUUGGCGAGCUUCUAACCGUCUCACUUGAGAGACAACUUUAUGACCUCUGACCUCAAAUCAGGUAGGACUACCCGCUGAACUUAAGCAUAUCAAUAAGCGGAGGA
RNAcentral lists this ribosomal RNA (661 nucleotides) under uncultured Ganoderma. RNAcentral's name for it is "eukaryotic LSU rRNA". The stretch from base 252 to 405 matches the Rfam family "5.8S ribosomal RNA". The record is from RNAcentral. Lineage: Eukaryota; Fungi; Basidiomycota; Agaricomycetes; Polyporales; Polyporaceae.